RNAcentral lists this ribosomal RNA (402 nucleotides) under uncultured bacterium. RNAcentral's name for it is "bacterial SSU rRNA". It matches the Rfam family "Bacterial small subunit ribosomal RNA", at positions 354 to 773 of the family's 1533-position model. The record is from RNAcentral.
GUGGGGAAUUUUGCGCAAUGGGGGAAACCCUGACGCAGCAACGCCGCGUGGAGGAUGAAGUCCCUUGGGACGUAAACUCCUUUCGACCGGGACGAUAAUGACGGUACCGGAAGAAGAAGCCCCGGCUAACUUCGUGCCAGCAGCCGCGGUAAUACGAGGGGGGCGAGCGUUGUUCGGAAUUAUUGGGCGUAAAGGGUGCGUAGGCGGUUCGGUAAGUUUCGUGUGAAAUCUUCGGGCUCAACUCGAAGCCUGCACGAGAUACUGCCGGGCUUGAGUGUGGGAGAGGUGAGUGGAAUUUCCGGUGUAGCGGUGAAAUGCGUAGAUAUCGGAAGGAACACCUGUGGCGAAAGCGGCUCACUGGACCACAACUGACGCUGAGGCACGAAAGCUAGGGGAGCAAAC